UGCGUGGUAUCAAGAGGCGCAUUGAGGCGCUCCUGCAGCCUCCUCCCGGCACGGGACUCCUCACAACCCCCAGCCUCAGCUUCCCCGACAGGGCAGGGGCUCAGUCUUCCCCACUCCGGGCCAGGAACGCAGCCUGCUUGCCUUUUGUCCAAUUGGGUGCUCUUUCUUUGCGACUGAUACAAAGUAGGAACAAACUCCGCUUCCGGUGAUGCCCGGGCCCCAGGAGGCUGGGGGAGAAGUGCACGCUGCCCAGCCUUCAACCUGAACUGCCCCCAGCACUUCCGAGCCCCGACCCCUGCAGCUGUGAGGGAAGCCCCUACCUCUGCCCUGGCCACAUCCUUCCCCUGAUCUCAUGGCUGAAAAGCCACACCAGAAUUCCUGCAGUUCAGUGAAGCAGCUGUUCAAAACCAAGCAGCUGGUGACGCACAGGGACAGAGGGUAGGCCUUCGGGGGAGAGGGCGGGAAAGGCCCUCACAGCAGGGCCCAGAGGAAGACUGACCACCCCAGGCUGAGCAGGAGCUGUACGCACAGGGCCCAGGGGCUGCCGGCUGCCAGGACCACCGCAUUGCAGAGGUCUCCCUUGCAGCAGGAGAUCUGGGAGUCCACGACGGCACUUAACCUGCCCUCUGCCCUGGCACCCCAGGGACUCACUGCCAAAGACGCUCACUUUCUGGGAGACACAGACCCCAUCCAGGAAGGGGCACAAGACCAUGCUGCAGGAGGCCCCUUCCAAGACCGCCAACCAUCCAUAGCAGCGCAGACCCUGAGCUGGGAGAGAGGGCAAGGAUUCUCUCGGCACCACGGGAACCACCUUCUCUACUCUCACUGAACACCCCUGGGAUGUAUCUGUAAAAAUUGGAACACCUUUCGGCUAGAAACCAGAGGAAGCCGCUCAUGACACCCGGGAGCUCACAGAGGCUCUGAAGUUUCUAUUCAAGAAAACAACUCCAGAUGGGGCUGAUCUGGAAGACAAGUAACAUCUUCCUUUUCUUGGUGCUCGCCUGCCGUGCUCUAGGUGCUUUUAGAGAUGCUGGUCUGUGUGCUAGGGAAGCGAUGAACCAUACUGUUAGUCUAUUAAGCAUAACUCAACCUGGCUAGCUUUCCAUGACUACCAAAUGCUGGGAAUAUGCCAGACCUGUGCCUGUGGAAGAACCUGGCCUCCCAGCACACCUCCAGGAACAAACUCCCUGGCCCGCAGGAUGGGGACAGCAGCCGCAACAGUCAAUACAAAGGGAUUUUACUGGGUGGGCUCAUGGGUUCUUUAAGUUCCCCCUCUUAACGAUCAACGGUAAUUCAAAUGUCCCAAAAGGAGAAAUGCUUUCUUAGCAUAUUUUUAUCUGGAGUAUUUCCCCUUCUGCCUUUACAGCAAUCAUGCCAGUUCUACCACUUUUGCAGGAAAGCUCCAAGACAGUCAGUGUAGCUGAACCUUUGUCACUGGGUCACCUAUCUAGUCCAUACGUCUGCAGGAAUUAUACUGAUAAAUGGACAACUCGCCCAUGCAAUCAAUCUCCCGCUCUAUCCUGUUCCCUGACCGGCAUGGUUUCUACUUCCUGUCAGCACAACUAGGACGUCUGGUUUCUGCUGGGCUGCCCUCUCAUGGGAAGCCUUUAAUCACUCUAUCUCAAUAUAUCCUCUGGGGACCAUCAACAUUUCCUAUUAAAGAUAACUACACCUGGCCGGGCGCGGUGGCUCACACCUGUAAUCCCAGAACUUUGGGAAGCCAAGGCGGGUGGAUCACGAAGUCGGGAGAUCGAGACCAUCCUGGCUAACACAGUGAAACCCCGCCUCUACUAAAAAUACAAAAAAUUAGCCAGGCGUGGUGGUGGGUGCCUGUAAUCCCAGCUACUUGGGAGGCUGAGGCAAGAGAAUGGCGAACCUAGGAGGCGGAGUUUGCAGUGAGCUGAGAUGGUGCCACUGCACUCCAGCCUGGGGGACAGAGCUACACUCCGUCUC
RNAcentral lists this long non-coding RNA (1953 nucleotides) under Pan troglodytes (chimpanzee). Its description in RNAcentral is "lincRNA". The record is from RNAcentral. Lineage: Eukaryota; Metazoa; Chordata; Mammalia; Primates; Hominidae.